UACAGAGGGUGCAAGCGUUGUUCGGAAUUAUUGGGCGUAAAGGGCGCGUAGGCGGUGCCACAAGUCACCUGUGAAAUCUCCGGGCUUAACUCGGAGCCUGCAGGCGAAACUGUGGUGCUGGAGUGUGGGAGAGGUGCGUGGAAUUCCCGGUGUAGCGGUGAAAUGCGUAGAUACUGGGAGGAACACCAGUGGCGAAGGCGGCUACCUGGACCGGUUCUGACGCUGAUGCGCGAAAGCGUGGGGAGCAAACAGG
Molecule: ribosomal RNA, 253 nt
Filed under: uncultured bacterium
Lineage: Bacteria
Description: partial 16S ribosomal RNA
Rfam family: Bacterial small subunit ribosomal RNA
Source: RNAcentral